This 496-nucleotide ribosomal RNA is filed under the name uncultured bacterium. Its description in RNAcentral is "partial 16S ribosomal RNA". It matches the Rfam family "Bacterial small subunit ribosomal RNA", at positions 29 to 507 of the family's 1533-position model. The record is from RNAcentral.
AUGAACGCUGGCGGCGUGCCUAAUACAUGCAAGUCGAGCGAACAGAUAAGGAGCUUGCUCCUUUGACGUUAGCGGCGGACGGGUGAGUAACACGUGGGUAACCUACCUAUAAGACUGGGAUAACUUCGGGAAACCGGAGCUAAUACCGGAUAACAUUUGGAACCGCAUGGUUCUAAAGUGAAAGAUGGUUUUGCUAUCACUUAUAGAUGGACCCGCGCCGUAUUAGCUAGUUGGUAAGGUAACGGCUUACCAAGGCGACGAUACGUAGCCGACCUGAAAGGGUGAUCGGCCACACUGGAACUGAGACACGGUCCAGACUCCUACGGGAGGCAGCAGUAGGGAAUCUUCCGCAAUAGGCGAAAGCCUGACGGAGCAACGCCGCGUGAGUGAUGAAGGGUUUCGGCUCGUAAAACUCUGUUAUUAGGGAAGAACAAAUGUGUAAGUAACUGUGCACGUCUUGACGGUACCUAAUCAGAAAGCCACGGCUAACUACGUG